GGCUCGAGGGGCCGGACGGGUGCGGUGCCUCACGCCUCAGCCUGGCCUCCCGGGCCCACGGCCGCCCGCGAGUGACUGCGGGCAGAGGCCCGGUCGGCAGCACGUGGUGGGCCCCGUGACCGGGAGAGGCGCGGACCAGAAACAACCCAAUACAAAUUGAGCAAAAACUCAAACACAGAAGAACGUGAACAUGUUUAUAAGCAUAAGGAAAGAGGCUCCGGAUCACUAGCUACCUUGCGGACGUCGAGGUGGCACUACCCGGCCACCAGAAGGGCGGGAGACCGAAGCAAAAACUCGGCCUUGACAGCAGAAGUUGACAGGCUGCAGAGAGCAGAUGGAACCCUCAUACAUGGCUGGCCAGGGCAUGGACUAACACAACCACUUGGAAAUUUUGGCAACUAGCAAAAAAAGUUACCUAUCUACCCCGUGUCCCAGAAAUUCCGCUCUUGGUAUGUUUCUUCAAAAAAAGAGGCACAUCUCUGAGAAGACUUGUAGAAGAAUGGUCAUAGCGGCUUUAUUCAUAAUGGCCCCAAAUUACAGAACACCUCAGUGAACAUCAAGUGAAUAGGCCUCAGGUGGAAUUCUACUCAGCAGUGAAAAAUAAUUCACCGCUACCACAACGUAGCUGAAUCUCAGAAACGUCCUGCCACAUCCCUGAGGCUGUCCACACAUUGAGACCGAGACAGCCUCCUCUGCUUCAGGGGGAAGGACAAGAUCCAAACAAGAACAAAGGAAUGAAUGGUCACCUUGUGCCUUCGAAAAAUGCCGUUGAAGCCCUUUUCAGAGACAACAGUUGCAAAAAGGUACCUGAAUGGCUCAGCAGUUGAGAGUCUGCCUUCUGCUCAGGGUGUGAUCCCAGGGUCCGGGGAUCGAGUCCUGCAUUGGGCUUCCUGCAUGGAGUCUGCUUCUCCCUCUGCCUGUGUCUCUGCCUAUCUCUGUG
This is a long non-coding RNA of Nyctereutes procyonoides (raccoon dog), 940 nucleotides long. RefSeq lists it as uncharacterized. The record is from RefSeq and is a predicted model, not a curated record. Lineage: Eukaryota; Metazoa; Chordata; Mammalia; Carnivora; Canidae. The transcript has 4 exons.